UACUGCUCCCGGACAGGAAGUGACUGGGGCGCGGGGAGGAGGGGGGCACAGCGGCGCAGGCGAGCUCCGAGACCAGAUGUGCGGCUCCAACUCCAGAUGUUCUUCAUCUCCGUCCUACCCGCCGUCCGGGCUCCUCCUGCCUCGGCCUGUGCCAGGCUGGGGAGAGGACGGAGGUCACCGAGAGGCAGUGAGAGGUCAGCCCCGACACAGGAGCAGUUUUCCGCGGGAGCUUUGCUGGAGGGACCCUGCCAGCCUCCACUGAAUCCUUUCCCCCACGCUGACGGGCUCUGGGGGCGCUGAGGGGCUGCUGGGGUCACUCGCAGGCCAGCUUCCCGUCGAAACUGGAGAGGGCGAUGGCGAAGGCCUGCAGGGCGCACAGCGGGUACCGGUAGUCUAGGGUGAAGGCGUCCUCCGCCACGCGGCCGAACUGCAGCACGAUAUAGUCGGCUAUGGACACAAGACGGGGUGGGGGCGGCCCGAGACCUCCUUGGACCCCCAUCCUGGCAGACAGUGCCCUCAACCUUGGGGGCAGUCUGUCCCUUGCCUUGGGGCUCCAACCCUCAGCCACCAUCUCAGUUACUCAACACCCAUCCCUUCUUCUAUCUCACUCCACACCAGCACCACGUGGCUUUGCAGUCACACUAUAAUCUCCUGGGGGCAGGGACCUUGCCUUUCUGCUGCUGCCACAGGCCAUGCCUAGAGCCCGCACCUGAUUAACUAUAGGACCCUGUCAAAUUUAUCCAAGCCCAGCAUUCUUCCUUCCCAAAUUCUCUGUUGUUUCUGGCCACAGUCUUUCCUCCUAUCCCCAGCCACGAAGUCCCACCUUAGACCCCAGCUCCACCCCUUGACUAGCCCCUGGUUCCCUUCCUCAGCCUCACUGGGCACCUCUCCCUUCAAUGAUCCAGGUUCCCAGCCCCAACCUCAGCACCUCCCCCAGGAUCCAUAGGGACAGGAAGUUGCUAAAAAUACCCCCAAACUCAGGUGGACGAGGCUCCACCAGAAACGUGAUCUGGAGAGCAGUCCCACAGCCACAGGACAGGUGGCACUGGGGGCACAUCCCUAGGAUGCAGUUGGGGCUCGCUCAAUGUUGGUCCAACCCUGUGAACCCAGAGACUUAUGGGAGAUACCCUUCCAUCCCCAAACUUCCUCACCCUAGUGGGAAGGAAGCCUUUCCAACCAAGGCUUGUAACAGGGACACCUUGUUUCCCUGAGUCUUCCAGGGUAGUCCUUUGACCUCACUUGAGAGAAGACACAGAGUAGGCACUCAAAAAUGCUUAAUAUUCCCUGCCCCUAAAAGGCAACCAUCUUGAAGAGAUUAAGAGCAUGGCCACUGGAGAUCCAGACUGUCAGCUCUACCUCCUACUAGUGAUGUGACCGUGGGCAAGUUGCUUAACCUCUCUGUGCCUUAGUUUCCUGCCAAAUAGGGAUAAUAAUGGCACUCUUCACAGGGACGUUGAAGGGAUUUAAUGAUUCAGUUAUCUGUAAAAUCCUGAGAACAGUGCCUGGCACAUAGUAAACACUGUGUAAGUUUUGUGAAAUAAAUUUCGAGGGCCAGUGUAACUUCCUGAAGUUGCUGAGAGACUCUGGGCAAAGGGCUGCCCUCUCUGAGCCUCAGCACUCUCUUUGAACAAAGAGGAGUUGGGCUGUCCGUGGUUUUCAGACUCUAGGAGCCAACCCUCCCUUCAACACAAUCUUAUCCAGAAUGUCCCAGUAUCUAACCCACUGCUCUGGCCAAUGCUGGAAUGGGAA
This 1749-nucleotide long non-coding RNA is filed under the name Homo sapiens (human). Its description in RNAcentral is "HSALNT0105483". Lineage: Eukaryota; Metazoa; Chordata; Mammalia; Primates; Hominidae. The record is from RNAcentral.